RNAcentral lists this ribosomal RNA (531 nucleotides) under uncultured bacterium. Its description in RNAcentral is "bacterial SSU rRNA". It matches the Rfam family "Bacterial small subunit ribosomal RNA", at positions 355 to 896 of the family's 1533-position model. The record is from RNAcentral.
UGGGGAAUAUUGCACAAUGGGCGGAAGCCUGAUGCAGCGACGCCGCGUGAGGGAUGACGGCCUUCGGGUUGUAAACCUCUUUCAGCAGGGACGAAGCGUAAGUGACGGUACCUGCAGAAGAAGCACCGGCUAACUACGUGCCAGCAGCCGCGGUAAUACGUAGGGUGCGAGCGUUGUCCGGAAUUACUGGGCGUAAAGAGCUCGUAGGCGGUUUGUCACGUCGUCUGUGAAAUCCUAGGGCUUAACCCUGGACGCGCAGGCGAUACGGGCUGACUUGAGUACUACAGGGGAGACUGGAAUUUCUGGUGUAGCGGUGGAAUGCACAGAUAUCAGGAAGAACACCGAUGGCGAAGGCAGGUCUCUGGGUAGCAACUGACGCUGAGGAGCGAAAGCAUGGGUAGCGAACAGGAUUAGAUACCCUGGUAGUCCAUGCCGUAAACGGUGGGCGCUAGGUGUGGGGUUCCUUCCACGGGCUCCGCGCCGUAGCUAACGCAUUAAGCGCCCCGCCUGGGGAGUACGGCCGCAAGGCUA